CCUUCGAUUGCUCAGUUGGUAGAGCGGAGGACUGUAGAUCCUUAGGUCGGUGGUUCAACUCCGUGUCGAAGGA
RNAcentral lists this transfer RNA (73 nucleotides) under Gadus morhua (Atlantic cod). RNAcentral's name for it is "tRNA-Tyr (GTA) (tRNA-Tyr-GTA-30-1)". It matches the Rfam family "tRNA". From Rfam's summary of the family: Transfer RNA (tRNA) molecules are approximately 80 nucleotides in length. Their secondary structure includes four short double-helical elements and three loops (D, anti-codon, and T loops). Further hydrogen bonds mediate the characteristic L-shaped molecular structure. tRNAs have two regions of fundamental functional importance: the anti-codon, which is responsible for specific mRNA codon recognition, and the 3' end, to which the tRNAs corresponding amino acid is attached (by aminoacyl-tRNA synthetases). tRNAs cope with the degeneracy of the genetic code in two manners: having more than one tRNA (with a specific anti-codon) for a particular amino acid; and 'wobble' base-pairing, i.e. permitting non-standard base-pairing at the 3rd anti-codon position. The record is from RNAcentral. Lineage: Eukaryota; Metazoa; Chordata; Actinopteri; Gadiformes; Gadidae.